CCUACGGGGGGCAGCAGUGAGGAAUAUUGGUCAAUGGGCGCGAGCCUGAACCAGCCAAGUAGCGUGAAGGAUGACUGCCCUACGGGUUGUAAACUUCUUUUAUAAAGGAAUAAAGUGAGGCACGUGUGCCUUUUUGUAUGUACUUUAUGAAUAAGGAUCGGCUAACUCCGUGCCAGCAGCCGCGGUAAUACGGAGGAUCCGAGCGUUAUCCGGAUUUAUUGGGUUUAAAGGGAGCGUAGAUGGGUUGUUAAGUCAGGUGUGAAAGUUUGCGGCUCAACCGUAAAAUUGCAAUUGAUACUGGCAGCCUUGAGUACAGUAGAGGUAGGCGGAAUUCGUGGUGUAGCGGUGAAAUGCUUAGAUAUCACGAAGAACCCCGAUUGCGAAGGCAGCUUACUAAACUGUAACUGACAUUGAUGCUCGAAAGUGUGGGUAUCAAACAGGAUUAGAUACCCCAGUAGUC
RNAcentral lists this ribosomal RNA (460 nucleotides) under uncultured bacterium. RNAcentral's name for it is "partial 16S ribosomal RNA". It matches the Rfam family "Bacterial small subunit ribosomal RNA", at positions 338 to 795 of the family's 1533-position model. The record is from RNAcentral.